GCAGCCUUAGCUCAGUAGGCAGAGCACCAGACUCUUAAUCUGGGAGUCGUGGGUUCGAUCCCCACAGGCUGUACCA
RNAcentral lists this transfer RNA (76 nucleotides) under Acholeplasmataceae bacterium. RNAcentral describes it as "tRNA-Lys". It matches the Rfam family "tRNA". From Rfam's summary of the family: Transfer RNA (tRNA) molecules are approximately 80 nucleotides in length. Their secondary structure includes four short double-helical elements and three loops (D, anti-codon, and T loops). Lineage: Bacteria; Bacillati; Mycoplasmatota; Mollicutes; Acholeplasmatales; Acholeplasmataceae. The record is from RNAcentral.